ACGGAAGGCAGCAGUGGGGAAUAUUGGGCAAUGGGCGAAAGCCUGACCCAGCAACGCCGCGUGAAGGAAGAAGGCCUUCGGGUUGUAAACUUCUUUUAUGUGGGAAGAUAAUGACGGUACCACAUGAAUAAGCCACGGCUAACUACGUGCCAGCAGCCGCGGUAAUACGUAGGUGGCGAGCGUUGUCCGGAUUUACUGGGUGUAAAGGGCGCGUAGGCGGGAUGGCAAGUCAGAUGUGAAAUCCACGGGCUUAACUCGUGAACUGCAUUUGAAACUGUCGUUCUUGAGUAUCGGAGAGGCAAGCGGAAUUCCUAGUGUAGCGGUGAAAUGCGUAGAUAUUAGGAGGAACACCAGUGGCGAAGGCGGCUUGCUGGACGACAACUGACGCUGAGGCGCGAAAGCGUGGGGAGCAAACAGGAUUAGAUACCCUGGUA
RNAcentral lists this ribosomal RNA (434 nucleotides) under uncultured Sporobacter sp. RNAcentral describes it as "bacterial SSU rRNA". It matches the Rfam family "Bacterial small subunit ribosomal RNA", at positions 341 to 792 of the family's 1533-position model. Lineage: Bacteria; Bacillati; Bacillota; Clostridia; Eubacteriales; Oscillospiraceae. The record is from RNAcentral.